GAUUUCUGAUGUGACGGGCCUGUCCCGCCGUGGUUACACGUGUGAGUGACGGGUUCCGUCCGUCUGUCUUCCGUGUGUGUCUACCGGUCAUGGUUCGCUAUGAUCGGUCGAUCGCUCGGAUCUUUUACUUUGAACAAAUUAGAGUGUUUCAAGCAGGCGUCAAGCCCUGAAUACAUGAGCAUGGAAUAAUCACCGAGGACUGAGGUUCUGCGUUGGUUGGUUCGAGAACUGCAGUAAUGAUGGAUAGGGAUAGUUGGGGGUGCUAGUAUUCCGAGGCCAGAGGUGAAAUUCUUGGAUUCUCGGAAGACUCACUUAGGCGAAAGCAUU
This 327-nucleotide ribosomal RNA is filed under the name uncultured Glissomonadida. RNAcentral describes it as "SSU rRNA". The stretch from base 116 to 327 matches the Rfam family "Eukaryotic small subunit ribosomal RNA", at positions 743 to 955 of the family's 1831-position model. Lineage: Eukaryota; Cercozoa; Glissomonadida. RNAcentral also lists the same sequence under 1 other name. The record is from RNAcentral.